AUCUGGCGAGGAACAGAACAAAACACAAGACGCAUGUUUGCAUGUUCACUUGGGCGCGGGAGGACCCCUCCCCUGCCUCGCCUCCAUCCCCUCCCUGGCGCCCCCUAGAAGUGCGGUCGGAGGGGCGGGCCGCCCACACCUUUCCCGGGUCUGGCUUUCCCUCUCCGGUGCCAGGAGGGGACCGUGAAGCCGCCAGCUGGGCUGCGCCGCACGCUGCGCUGGCACCUCGGCCUGCGCCAACAGCUCGCCCCCUCCUCAGGGAAAGCUCGGCAAACAGUGCUGAGCCUCGCAAGCUGCCGCCCAUUAAUGCCUCUUAGCCUGCAAGCUGGGUAACCUGCUCCGAGGGCGGCCGCCCCUCCUGGCUGGCACUCUCUCCUCCCCUCGGCCCUUCUGUCUCCCUGCUGGCCAGGGCCGUCUCGCCUUCGCCCUCCUGCUCUCCCUCCACCCACCCUCGCGCGCCCUUUUGUUUCUCCUUCCUCCUGGUUUCCCUGUUGUUUCCUUUCCCUUCCCUCCCUUGCAUGUCUCACUUCCUCCUUCCCCGCCUCUCCACUUGCCGGGGUCCUCCGAGGCCUUCCUGCCUCGCCCUCCUGGCCGCAGUUCCGAUUCUGUCCCUCCGGAGACCGCUGCCUGCCUCUGCCCUUCUCCGGGUCGAGGGGGAGCAAGUCCUCCAGGAAGAAGGCUGUGGUGGGGAACAGGCGUCCAUCUGGGACUGAGAGAGGUGGGCAGCAUCCUGGUGUGGGGCAAUCAGCACCACCAAGCUUGGGGCCUGGACCAGGCUGCAGCUUCAGACUCCAGGGAAGGGGGCUCCUCAUCCCCCUGUUUUCCAGGACCAAAUCUUGCUUUAAUUAAAAAAAAUUAAACUCACUUUGCUCUAAUAAAUGACAGAGAAUAUGGGAGAUGCUCUAUUUGUAACCAAUCUUGCUUUAUAGAUUUAAUCUAUGAUCAGACACUUGGAUUUAAAUGCCUUUGUCAUUUUCCUGAUAGAGAAGUACCAGCUCCUAAUGGAUACUGUGGUAUUUAGAACUGUGCCCAGCAAGACUGACCCCUGGUCAGUCAUCAUUUAAAUGAAUGCCCUUUUUUUUUUAUACCAAAAAGCAAAGAGAGGUCAAUUGCAACCUCUGGGGAGGAGGAACCCCUCUCGGUUUGGCUUUAUAGAAAUGGGCUUGGUGGGGGGGGGAUAUGACUUUUUGAAAAAUAAUAAAAAUACUUUUAAAAAAUAGAGGAGGAGAGUCUUGCUAAGACCUGCAGCAGGCAAAGUGGCACAGGUCCACCACAGUAGGGCUUUGCUGGUCACUUCAUUCACUAGCUAGUGGGAAAAGGCUUUCUAGCUCAUCUCCGAGAAAACACCACUGGGCCUGGCCAUCAAUUCCUUCUUCUCUUUGGCCCUGCAGCUGUCCUGAUCCAGAAGACCAUGGAGAUGCCAGGAAGGACAGGGAAGGGAAGGAGAGACUGUGGCUACUCAAUCCAAGUAGGCUACCGAUGCCUUGGACACUGGAGUUCCAGAUCCUUGGCACACAAUAAAAUAUUGUUUCAGCCUUUCUCCUAGGGACAGAAAGAGAUACUCACGCCCCCGCCCCAUCUGCCUUUUCCUGUUGUGUAUCAGAGGGGACAUUGCAUCACUGGACAGGGACAGAACAGGCAGGGGACUUAUCCGCCAACAAAAAACAACUGUUCAGAGAUUACUGGAUGGGUCAUUCAUUCAUAAAAGGGCAGAAUGGAGACUGCCUCAAAGCACAGAUUUUGCAGAAGCAAAAACUGUUAGCAGGGUUCCCUGGCCAGUGCCCUGGGUUCCAGUGCAGUGGGGCAUGCAUUUCUGUGCCAGCUUGUGAGGCCUCAGAGGGCUGUGCUGAGCCCCCUGCAGGAGGCUGACCCCCUUAGCUCAUGCAAGCUGUGAGUCCCCUUCCACAGGUAACACGGGGCCUUGGAGUAGGAGCCAGAAGGGAGAGUUGCGCAUUUGCAGAAUGUGGGGAGUCAUGGUAGUCACGAACUCAGCGUCCCCUGAAGAGAAACCCGGCACCCCAGAGGGCACACUUACGUGCACACGGUCUUGAUGUUCGUCUUGUCAUCCAGGCCCUGCGGGUAGUUGGCCAUGCUGUCGCCCAGCUUGAGCAAACAGUCUGAAAAGCCCUUAAAGACCGCAUCGCACUUGCCUGCUGCUCUCACGGCCUGCACCAGGUACGCUGCGGGGAGGAGGGGACACAGGUCAGCAGCUCGUGGGCCCGCCUCGUCCCUGGCCCUCCCACCACGCCUCCUGCUGCGGGGCAGGGAUGAAGGUGAACAGGUGAACUGCAGAGGUGGCCUGGGACUGACCGGUGUAAUUAUUUGGGUGCCAGAGGCCGUGGGUGGGAGAGAUGAGUUCAGUCCGCUCCCCAGCUCGCUCCCGAAGUGCACGCUGUAUCUUUUUCUGUUUCCAACGCCCCCUCUUCUCACCUCCCUCAUCUUCUUUAUUUCUUUCCCUCACUGCCUCCUUCGUCUCCCAACACUCCCCAGCAAGCCCAGUCACGCCUCUCUCUCCGCGCAAUCUUCCAUUUCUGAGGUGACAAAUGGAGGGUGGGGGCUCGGCCGUGGAGUGCGGGGCAGGGACAGCGUGGCGAGAAGGCCGGGCUCGGGGUUGCGCAGCUGAAUCCAACACCACUACGCGCACGAAACCCUCACGUGUCCGGAUCUGGGCUCGGCAGCGCUACCCAGAGAAUAAAGACUCAAAGCCACCAGCGGUCGCCGAGACACUGUUUCAUUCUCAAACCCACUGUGUGCGGCCCGCGGGGUCUGUUCCACGGGAGGCUCUAGGAACCGGCGAACUAGGGGUGGUGGUGGUGAAAAUUGGUCCCUGAAGGUCAGGGGACAACAGGAGGGCGAGAUCACAGAUGUGUCCACUGGGUAACUCUGGGUCACCCCCACGAGCCUCGGGGCCCCUGCUUUCCUCUGCCUGUGUCUGGCGGCGCCAGCCUCUGCACCAAAUCCUAGGAAAGGCCGCAGCUACCCAUCACAAAAGCCGAUCAGAUCCUGCCUUGCCAAGCCCCAGCCGGCUCUCGGAGCGCAGAGCGCGCAGCCGCCCUGGGCUCCUGCUCCAGCUCCGAGCUCCCUCCGGGAGAAGGGCUGCCGAGCAGACCUUAUGAGAGCCGGGAGGAGCAGGACAACACGCAGGCCGCACUGAGGGCCUCAAGUCGGUCAGUCCCCGAGGCUCCAGGCUGGAGAGAGAGGUCCAGGCCCAGAGCGCACUGCAGUGGCCUUUUCUUUCCACCCUGAGGCCAAGAACCCGACAGAAGCUGGGCACCCGGUGCCUCCCAAACACCUCGGGCACCAAGGGUGCUAGAGAAACGCGCACCUGCGCUCUCGGGGGAGGUGAAUCUCAGAAUCAAUCUAAAUCUGCCUCCAACUCCCAGGACUGGAAUGCAGGUCGCUUCCCGGGCAGUGUUCCGGAGGCCACCACUGGGGCGUGAAUGUAUCCCGGGGGACUGUGCACCUUACCCCCCAAUCCCCACGCAGCCUUAGGGCCGAGCGCCGGAGCGGGAAGGUGACCGAGCUGCAGCAGCCUAGGAGGGCCCGCCGUGCGGCUUGCAGACUGCUGCUGCAGGAAGCCACGGGCGGGCCUUGCGCUUUCUAAUCCGGAACGGGAAACGCUGGGGAAGGGACCAAGGUUAAUUUCGCCCUAAGCUGGGGCAGGGAUCUUCCUAAGUCUCCUAUUUUCUCUUACCCCCGACCCCAAUUUAAUACCCAUGCUACUACAACAAUAACACAUCGAAGGCUGAGCCGGAAUCUCAUGGGCAAGAGCAUCUUUGUCCUGAUGGAACUCUGCCGCCUUGACACAAACCCUGCACACCUUCCUCUGUAAUGCGUGUCACAAAUACAGCUUUGCAAGGGACAGACAAGACACAGACCACCCUCCCCUCUCCCGGCUUCUCCUCACCCUUCACUUCCACUCCCCUCACUCGCUGUCCAAAGAGAAGCCCCUAAGAAGCGCUGGUAAUUUUUUUUUCAAAAGGAAGUGGUUGCUCGCUGGGAACGGGAAGCGCGCCUGCCACGUUAUCUUUCCAGGCGCCGCACACCGCGCAUGUGUGAGUGUGUGCGUGUGUAAAAUGAGAAGUCGUGAAAAUAUCUGUGCUUUGCCACUGUGCAGCCUGACUGCGCUGGAAGGCCGAGCCUCGCGCGGGACGCAUUUUGCAGACGCACCCUCAGGCGGGUCACAGCCUGCGUGCCCCGCACGGUUUUUCCAGGGCUCGGGCAGGCGACCCAGGGCUCCUUCUCUGUCCUCUCUUUGUGGUUUCCAAUCGUUCAUUCAUUCGUUCGACCUCUCAUUCAUUCCAAACUUCUACCCGCCACCUCUUCACUGGUUCACCACUACCUCCCCGCCCCCACUUUUCUUGCCAAAUGUCAGUGAUUCGGGACAGCUCCCAGCCAUGAAUUAAUAAAGACUGAGGCGCUGCUGCGGGGAAGGGCAGACAUUCGGGAAGGAACACGCUCGAUUUCAAUGCCACAGCCAACAAAUAAAUGGUCAUUUUUCCGGCUGAGAUUAGCGUGUUCAAAAACGCGUCCUCAAGCACAGCCGAUUUUUGUUUCUUUUUUCCCUUCUUCUCAGAGUAAGGUUAUUUCCCACCCGGACAACAUCACCCUAAACCUUCCUCGGACUGAAAAUCUGGUCCCAAAGACAACUGCUGUUUCCUGCUCACUAAAAAUCCGAAGGCUAACCGUAGAAGGCCACAUCCGAUCAUUCUCCAGCGUUCUGCUGUCACUAGAGAUGUUCUUUCUUCAUUGCAGCUCUUUGAACUAAUAUCAAAGAUGCAAAACAGCCAGGCUGAAAGUCCUUCCUUAGAAUUAUGGGGAACACUAACAUCUGUGUGGUCCCCUGCACAUCUUGAAUCCACACACUCUAAAAUCCCUAUAACGUUUCUGCAACAAAACAAACCAACGCAAAAUAAAACUUCAAAACCUUGCGUAAUGCAUCAAAACCCUACUACAAAGAAUCCCUUUUCAUGGCCGGAGAACCCCAACCUGGUUUCCUUUCACAUUUCUCAGGAAACAAAAAAUGUUAGCAUUUUAUCUUUUGCCCCAAAUCAGUUCUCUAAAGCUGCCCCCCCCCCCCCGGCUUACCGCAAGGGUUUGUCCCAAAAAGCUACCGCAUACAAUCACAAGCGGUGACAAUUCCCUCUGUCUUCACAAAGCCCAUUGAAGAGUUUCUAUUUUUUCUCUCGUCUAUUCUAUUAAUAACCCGCGUCCCUUUCACUUUUAGGCCAUGUUAAUUAAUGUUCUGACCCUCCAUCAGAGAAGGGAUUUUUCUAGUGCAUAGAAACCACAAGGUUGUCUGCAUUCUGGUGCGGGGGUGGUGGUGGUGGUGUUAAAACUUGAACUUUAAAAAUCCCCCUGACGGUGUAACUCUGCAUUCCUUAACAUAACAGAAGGACUAAAAACAUCGCCCGUAAUCAACGCCAGACAAAUAAAAACAACAGCCUCCGGGACGAUACAGCAAGUAUUCCUUAACCCCUUUCUAAAUAUAAAAAUACAGACUUCGAGGUGUAAAGUAGUAGGCAAAGGUCCCUAAAAAGGUACAUGCAUGUAUACUGGGCUAAGUGCAUCCUCCUCAGUGGUAAGCAAAAUAAAAUCCGUAGUUUGGGGUUCCCCACCAUCCUUGAUUUGCCCCCCAGCCGGGUCUGCGGCGCCCGCCCCGGGCAAGCGCUGCAGCUAGGACCUGGGGGGAGGGGCGGGAGAAUGACAAAGUUCUACAUGCAGCAGUUCGAGCGGAGCCCUGGGCUGCCAGCGCCGUCUGCACAUAAACUUUCCAGGCUCGGCAGCCUAGCCAUCUUGUUCCUGCAUCCACCUUUCCAUCCUUCCAAAUAGGAUCUUGCAGGAUCUCAGGGACCACAGCAUUGCCCCGAGCGCACCGAACCUGGUCAAACCCCAGAAAGAGGACCAAAAAAUGGAUGUGCGCUUUGGGGGGCAAGAAAAUGGGUAGGGGAAACCCCCUCUGGAAAAAGGCCGGUGGCACACAUUUCCUGGAGAACGUUUGAAGCCUCUCUCUGUCUCUUUCAAGAAAAGCCUAACCGGGACGCCCGGUCUCCAGGCGCUGGUGCCCCCACCUCGGGGCUUUGCGGGGCUCUCCGCACCCCGGGCGGCCGCGGCCCAGCCCGUCCCCCUCCGCGCCUUGGGCCGGGGCUGGCCGGCUUCAGAGCUGGCCCGGGCAGCACUUACCUAUUUGCACCGCGAGGAUCAGUGAAAUGUAUCUGCCGUUCAACUUAAGUCCCAUCCUAUGUUUACUCAAACCAUUUGCGACCGCAGACCUUUAAAUAGUUAGUUUAGAGAACGCGGGGGAAAGCUGAAAAAUAGGCAUUGCCAACAAGUUCCGGGAGCGGCGGAGACUUUGUGCACGGGAAGGCAGAGGGAGGAGAGAAA
Long non-coding RNA from Cavia porcellus (domestic guinea pig), 6384 nucleotides. RefSeq lists it as uncharacterized. NCBI's taxonomy places the organism in Eukaryota, Metazoa, Chordata, Mammalia, Rodentia, Caviidae. The transcript has 2 exons. The record is from RefSeq and is a predicted model, not a curated record.